UGCUGUAUAUGUUGAUUUCAGUAGGUUUAGGUUCACUAUUUGGAAUAAGAUACACCUAGAAAGAAUCUAUCGAUCUUGGUAGAAAAGAUGAAGUCCUAUGUGAUUUGCGAGACCGAGUUCAAAAAGUUUUUGGCCAAAACAAGUGUGAAUAUCGAAAAAAAAAAUUUAUCGAAUUCACAAAUAAACUCGAGUCGAGCCAAUCAUGCAUAUGACUGACAAUGAGAUCUGACGACUUCUCCAUGACCUCUAUCAAGUCG
RNAcentral lists this long non-coding RNA (257 nucleotides) under Elaeis guineensis (African oil palm). Its description in RNAcentral is "long non-coding RNA (EGUI_LNC046651)". The record is from RNAcentral. Lineage: Eukaryota; Viridiplantae; Streptophyta; Magnoliopsida; Arecales; Arecaceae.